RNAcentral lists this transfer RNA (83 nucleotides) under Arthrobacter caoxuetaonis. RNAcentral's name for it is "Arthrobacter sp. zg-Y453 tRNA-Tyr". It matches the Rfam family "tRNA". From Rfam's summary of the family: Transfer RNA (tRNA) molecules are approximately 80 nucleotides in length. Lineage: Bacteria; Bacillati; Actinomycetota; Actinomycetes; Micrococcales; Micrococcaceae. The record is from RNAcentral.
GGGAGGUUGCCUGAGCGGCCAAAAGGAGGCGACUGUAAAUCGUCUGGCAUUGUCCUUCGGGGGUUCGAAUCCCUCACCUCCCA